UCCGUGAGCUGUCUUCUAAACGUCCUCGGCUACGUCUGCGAUGACCGCCGAGCCGAAUAAAUCAGCGUUUCCCUAAGUGGGAAACGAAGUGGGAAGGCUAAAACAGUCAGGAGGUUGGCUUAGAAGCAGCCACCCUUUAAAGAAAGCGUAAUAGCUCACUGAUCGAGUCGUCCUGCGCGGAAGAUGUAACGGGGCUAAGCUAUAUACCGAAGCUGCGGAUGCGUGCUUGCACGCAUGGUAGGAGAGCGUUCCGUAAGCCUGCGAAGGUGCGUUGAAAAGCGUGCUGGAGGUAUCGGAAGUGCGAAUGCUGACAUGAGUAGCGAUAAAGGGGGUGAAAGGCCCCCUCGCCGUAAGCCCAAGGUUUCCUACGCAACGUUCAUCGGCGUAGGGUGAGUCGGCCCCUAAGGCGAGGCAGAAAUGCGUAGCUGAUGGGAAGCAGGUCAAUAUUCCUGCACCAUUGUUAGAUGCGAUGGGGGGACGGAUCGCGGAAGGUUGUCCGGGUGUUGGAAGUCCCGGUCGCUGCAUUGGAGAAGGCACUUAGGCAAAUCCGGGUGCGCAAUUCAAGGGUGUGGCGCGAGCUUCUUCGGAAGCGAAGCAAUUGGAAGUGGUUCCAAGAAAAGCCUCUAAGCUUCAGUCUAACGAUGACCGUACCGCAAACCGACACAGGUGGGCGAGAUGAGUAUUCUAAGGCGCUUGAGAGAACUCGGGAGAAGGAACUCGGCAAAUUGGUACCGUAACUUCGGGAUAAGGUACGCCCUUGUAGCUUGACUGGCCUGCGCCAGGAGGGUGAAGGGGUUGCAAUAAACUGGUGGCUGCGACUGUUUAAUAAAAACACAGCACUCUGCAAACACGAAAGUGGACGUAUAGGGUGUGACGCCUGCCCGGUGCCGGAAGAUUAAAUGAUGGGGUGCAAGCUCUUGAUUGAAGUCCCGGUAAACGGCGGCCGUAACUAUAACGGUCCUAAGGUAGCGAAAUUCCUUGUCGGGUAAGUUCCGACCUGCACGA
RNAcentral lists this ribosomal RNA (1005 nucleotides) under Burkholderia cepacia. RNAcentral's name for it is "partial 23S ribosomal RNA". It matches the Rfam family "Bacterial large subunit ribosomal RNA", at positions 1004 to 1995 of the family's 2925-position model. Lineage: Bacteria; Pseudomonadati; Pseudomonadota; Betaproteobacteria; Burkholderiales; Burkholderiaceae. The record is from RNAcentral.